Molecule: transfer RNA, 87 nt
Filed under: Alphaproteobacteria bacterium
Lineage: Bacteria; Pseudomonadati; Pseudomonadota; Alphaproteobacteria
Description: tRNA-Leu
Rfam family: tRNA
About the family: Transfer RNA (tRNA) molecules are approximately 80 nucleotides in length. Their secondary structure includes four short double-helical elements and three loops (D, anti-codon, and T loops). Further hydrogen bonds mediate the characteristic L-shaped molecular structure. tRNAs have two regions of fundamental functional importance: the anti-codon, which is responsible for specific mRNA codon recognition, and the 3' end, to which the tRNAs corresponding amino acid is attached (by aminoacyl-tRNA synthetases). tRNAs cope with the degeneracy of the genetic code in two manners: having more than one tRNA (with a specific anti-codon) for a particular amino acid; and 'wobble' base-pairing, i.e. permitting non-standard base-pairing at the 3rd anti-codon position.
Source: RNAcentral
GCCCGAGUGGCGGAAUUGGUAGACGCGCUACGUUCAGGUCGUAGUCUGAUUACUCAGGUGGAGGUUCAAGUCCUCUCUCGGGCACCA